This 337-nucleotide ribosomal RNA is filed under the name Escherichia coli. RNAcentral's name for it is "bacterial LSU rRNA". It matches the Rfam family "Bacterial large subunit ribosomal RNA", at positions 2611 to 2925 of the family's 2925-position model. Lineage: Bacteria; Pseudomonadati; Pseudomonadota; Gammaproteobacteria; Enterobacterales; Enterobacteriaceae. The record is from RNAcentral.
UUAGAACGUCGUGAGACAGUUCGGUCCCUAUCUGCCGUGGGCGCUGGAGAACUGAGGGGGGCUGCUCCUAGUACGAGAGGACCGGGGUGGACGCAUCACUGGUGUUCGGGUUGUCAUGCCAAUGGCACUGCCCGGUAGCUAAAUGCGGAAGAGAUAAGUGCUGAAAGCAUCUAAGCACGAAACUUGCCCCGAGAUGAGUUCUCCCUGACUCCUUGAGAGUCCUGAAGGAACGUUGAAGACGACGACGUUGAUAGGCCGGGUGUGUAAGCGCAGCGAUGCGUUGAGCUAACCGGUACUAAUGAACCGUGAGGCUUAACCUUACAACGCCGAAGCUGUU